CGCCAGACUCCUACGGGAGGCAGCAGUGGGGGAUAUUGCACAAUGGGGGGAACCCUGAUGCAGCGACGCCGCGUGGGUGAAGGAGUAUUUCGGUAUGUAAAGCCCUAUCGGCAGGGAAGAAGCAAGACGGUACCUGACUAAGAAGCCCCGGCUAACUACGUGCCAGCAGCCGCGGUAAUACGUAGGUGGCAAGCGUUAUCCGGAUUUACUGGGUGUAAAGGGAGCGUAGACGGUGAAGCAAGUCUGAAGUGAAAGGCGGGGGCUCAACCCCCGGACUGCUUUGGAAACUGUUUGACUGGAGUGCAGGAGAGGUAAGUGGAAUUCCUAGUGUAGCGGUGAAAUGCGUAGAUAUUAGGAGGAACACCAGUGGCGAAGGCGGCUUACUGGACUGUAACUGACGUUGAGGCUCGAAAGCGUGGGGAGCAAACAGGAUUAGAUACCCUUGUACAG
This 450-nucleotide ribosomal RNA is filed under the name uncultured bacterium. RNAcentral's name for it is "partial 16S ribosomal RNA". It matches the Rfam family "Bacterial small subunit ribosomal RNA", at positions 329 to 793 of the family's 1533-position model. The record is from RNAcentral.